GAAAGCCAAGUGGAGGAAGAAACGAAUGCUCAGGCUGAGAGUAACAGAAGAAAGAUGAGGCAGAGGUCCAAGUAAACCGCCAGCUUGUGAACCCAAGAUCGGAAGAGAGUGUGUAGGGAGAGAGUG
This is a long non-coding RNA of Leopardus geoffroyi (Geoffroy's cat), 126 nucleotides long. RefSeq lists it as uncharacterized. The record is from RefSeq and is a predicted model, not a curated record. Lineage: Eukaryota; Metazoa; Chordata; Mammalia; Carnivora; Felidae. The transcript is spliced from 5 exons.